This 496-nucleotide ribosomal RNA is filed under the name uncultured bacterium. Its description in RNAcentral is "partial 16S ribosomal RNA". It matches the Rfam family "Bacterial small subunit ribosomal RNA", at positions 28 to 507 of the family's 1533-position model. The record is from RNAcentral.
GAUGAACGCUGACGGCGUGCCUAAUACAUGCAAGUCGAGCGAACAGACGAGGAGCUUGCUCCUCUGACGUUAGCGGCGGACGGGUGAGUAACACGUGGAUAACCUACCUAUAAGACUGGGAUAACUUCGGGAAACCGGAGCUAAUACCGGAUAAUAUAUUGAACCGCAUGGUUCAAUAGUGAAAGACGGUUUUGCUGUCACUUAUAGAUGGAUCCGCGCCGCAUAGCUAGUUGGUAAGGUAACGGCUUACCAAGGCAACGAUGCGUAGCCGACCUGAGAGGGUGAUCGGCCACACUGGAACUGAGACACGGUCCAGACUCCUACGGGAGGCAGCAGUAGGGAAUCUUCCGCAAUGGGCGAAAGCCUGACGGAGCAACGCCGCGUGAGUGAUGAAGGUCUUCGGAUCGUAAAACUCUGUUAUUAGGGAAGAACAAAUGUGUAAGUAACUAUGCACGUCUUGACGGUACCUAAUCAGAAAGCCACGGCUAACUACGUG